This 482-nucleotide ribosomal RNA is filed under the name uncultured bacterium. RNAcentral describes it as "partial 16S ribosomal RNA". It matches the Rfam family "Bacterial small subunit ribosomal RNA", at positions 28 to 523 of the family's 1533-position model. The record is from RNAcentral.
AGUGAACGUUGGCGGCGUGGAUUAGGCAUGCAAGUCGAGCGAGAACCGUAGCAAUACGGGGACAGCGGCGAAAGGGACAGUAAUGUGUAGGUACCUACCCCGAGGUCUGGGAUAGCUGCGGGAAACUGCAGGUAAUACCGGAUAAUGUCUUCGGACCAAAGGUGUGAUUCCACCUUGGGAGGGGCCUGCAUCCUAUUAGCUUGUUGGCGGGGUAACGGCCCACCAAGGCAACGAUGGGUGGCGGGUGUGAGAGCACGACCCGCGUCAUUGGGACUGAGAUACUGCCCAGACACCUACGGGUGGCUGCAGUCGAGGAUCUUCGGCAAUGGGCGAAAGCCUGACCGAGCGACGCCGCGUGCGGGAUGAAGGCCUUCGGGUUGUAAACCGCUGUCGUAGAGGAGGAAAUGCAGGGGGGUUCUCCCCUCUGUUUGACCUAUUCUAGGAGGAAGGACGGGCUAAGUUCGUGCCAGCCGCCGCGGUAA